This 2681-nucleotide long non-coding RNA is filed under the name Pongo abelii (Sumatran orangutan). RNAcentral describes it as "lincRNA". The record is from RNAcentral. Lineage: Eukaryota; Metazoa; Chordata; Mammalia; Primates; Hominidae.
CAAGACAGAGGCAAGCAGAGAAGGCAUAGCAGCAGCGACCGGCCCUCUGUUUUCAUUUUCCACUUUAGCCAGGGGAUAAACUGGACCCCAGUGGACUCCAACACCAACUCUCUGCUUCCCAGUUACUUUUGAUUUUCUUUCCCUUCUCCUUCUUUCUGUCCCUCUCUGGCAUUCAAAUAGAAGCACAAGAGGACCCACCAGUGGCAACUCUUAGCCUCCUUGCAGGCCACAUUCCCUGCUGACGUGGUCCUUCCUGCAGGAGAGCCCUUCUGUGAUUAUCUAAUAAUAGCCAGGGUGGCUGAGAAUAGAAUCUGGCUCAAGGACUCUGCGCACACCCGGGGCAGAGACACUGAAUCUGUGGGUCAGGGCCUGGCAACAUUCCUUGGAGCCUCCCCUUCUGAGCCCACUCUUUGGGCACCCUUAGGCUUGCCUGCCCCCCUUACAAGGGGCUUUGUCAGCCCUGCCAUCCGCUGUAUUUCAUGUGCUGGUUCCUAGCUAAGGAGAAUUGGGCAGAGCAAACCCUUUCUCUCCCUGGUCUGACAGUUGUGAUCCCGACAGAAUGCGACCUUGUUUGGAGAAGGCGACCUUGUUGGGUUGGCUGUGUUCUGAAACCAGGCUUGGGAGUGUUAUAUAUUUAUUAUAUACAGGCUUAAAUGUACAGACUCAGGCUUAUGCAGAAUAUAUACAGACUCAUAUUUCCUUGGUGGUUAAUUGUAUAUUACCAUGCCUAUAUUCGCUCAAAUACCACUUUAUGUGCAUGCAAAAUUUUGUUAGUCCUCACUAGAUGAGAGUGGGCUCAUGGAGGCACGGGGUGCACUGAGCAGGCCUUCUGUGCCUGCUCUGCUGGAAAUAUGUGCGCACUGGAAUCGGAGUAUGCGGGUUCCAGUAACCAAUGGAUGCCAUAAAGGCUUUCUCAGACCUUAUUGCUUUUGUUGCCCGAGCAGCUGGACUGGGGAAAUACUAAAUCCCUUCUGCUUUCUCUCCACACCUCCUGGCAAACUCUCCCAACUUAGAAAUUAUUUUACAAGGGAGACCAGUUGUCUUGAAAUUGAGUUCUGCGGGAUUCUUUUCACGGGCAUGGUAGGGCUGCAAGCAGUUCUGAGUAGUCAGGGCCCUGGCGCUGGAAGCCUCACUGGAGCAAUGAAGGGAUCAGAGUGGUUAAUAAGGUGGCCUCUGGACAGUGAUCUGGGGCGGCUGCUGGCCAGGGUGCUUGGAGAAGCUUGUGGAAAAGGCAAGCCAGAAGGAGUAGGGAUGCAGUGAAUAUCUGUUUCUCCCCCUGCUUGCCCCAGCCGGCCGCUCACCCCACCCCAGCCCGAUUUGCCUGCAUCCGUGGCGGCAGAUUGGGAGUUCUCUAAGGUCUCCCAAAUACCCAGAUCUGGUUACUGGAUGAACUGCGUUUUAAUCCUCGUCGCUAUCUGAGCCAGGGCAAGACCUGGUCAGGGAGAUGGCUGGUCCGGGCAGCACGGGAGAGGACGCUGGGCCCGCCGCCUGUGGCCUGGAGGACUGAGUAUGGGCUACCGAGGCUGAGAAUUGAUGAGCCUCCUUUCCCAGCCUUUUUCCCUUCCAGAGACACAAAAAGACAGAGCAGAGGGGAAAUAUCAAUGUCAGUGGAAAACCCCAUAAAAGAAAGCAGGGACCAGAGUGGGGCUGGAGGGGUUUUCCGCUACUCUCUGUAGGUGAUCGGGUUCCUCCCAAGACUCUUGUCCAGACAGGCUGCACCAAGAGGUGUGCAGCUUUCUUCCACCUUCCUCCCGCCCUUCAAGGAGGGCAGCCUUAGGCUUUCUGGGCCUUGGUCACCCCAGGCACUGGGGUGACAUUACCCCAGGAUUGUGCCCCUUGCCCAGCCCACGGCCUCUGCCACGGCGCCGCAGCCGCUCCUGUUUAUUGUGUCUGUGAGUUGUUUACUUGUUUUGUCUGCUGCCACCCUGCGUCAGAAACCCGCCAAACCAGCGAACUCGCCCAGGAGAACAAAGUGCAGCGCUAUCCCCGAACUCCCUCCCCUUUCCAGCAACCCCCUCCUGCCCUCACAAGCUCCUGCAUUCUCCUUUUCGGAAGGGAGGAAGCAGAAAUAGCCUUAAAACAGGGCAGCUGUUUAUAGGGUCAGGGGAAUUAUGGGGACACCAUAAACCUCUGGGUGUCCCUGUGGUGGAGAGACUUCUGAGCAGCCCUUCCCUUGCCUAGGUUUUUCUUCUUUCCCCUGGUGACCACUUGGUUAAGAGGGCCACACUCAUUGAGAAAGUUGAGCCCACCCCCAUCAACCCAGUGCCCCACUACCCCACUCCUUUCUGCAGGAGUUUCCCUGAGACACCGGUUGUUGGGUUUUAAAUCAGGGUAAUGCUGGUGGAUUCAUAAAGCUAGAUAUAGCAUGUCAUUCUCCUCCCACACUCCCUCUCCUCAGCCCCCCAAAAUUGCGGUGAAUUUAAGCAAAUCCUACAAAAUUAAAUUGCCCCUUUGCUAAAGAUCCUAUAUGUCUCCAAUCCCGCCAGGUGUAGAGUCAGAUAGUUGGCUUUUGGCCUUUAAUUUUGCUCCUAGCUAUUAAAUUUAAAAGAGUGUCAUUGAAGUAAGUAAUAUUCUCAUUUCUGAAAUUAAUUUUCCCCUCCCAGUCUCUCUCUCUCUCUUUUUGCCAGCACAGAUUAAAUGGUUCUUUCAGAUCUGCAAACAAUAAAGGAUAAAAUUAUUUA